AUACGGAGGGUGCAAGCGUUAAUCGGAAUUACUGGGCGUAAAGCGUACGUAGGCGGUUCGUUAAGUUAGAUGUGAAAGCCCCGGGCUUAACCUGGGAACUGCAUUUAAAACUGGCGGACUAGAGUUGAGUAGAGGGGAGUGGAAUUUCAGGUGUAGCGGUGAAAUGCGUAGAGAUCUGAAGGAACACCAGUGGCGAAGGCGACUCCCUGGACUCGAACUGACGCUGAGGUACGAAAGCGUGGGUAGCAAACGGGAUUAGAAACCCUUGUAGUCC
RNAcentral lists this ribosomal RNA (274 nucleotides) under uncultured bacterium. RNAcentral describes it as "partial 16S ribosomal RNA". It matches the Rfam family "Bacterial small subunit ribosomal RNA", at positions 523 to 796 of the family's 1533-position model. The record is from RNAcentral.